This 199-nucleotide long non-coding RNA is filed under the name Elaeis guineensis (African oil palm). RNAcentral's name for it is "long non-coding RNA (EGUI_LNC068993)". Lineage: Eukaryota; Viridiplantae; Streptophyta; Magnoliopsida; Arecales; Arecaceae. The record is from RNAcentral.
CAGCACCAAAGUAAAGUGAGUUGCUUGCAAGUCACUAUGGUGAUCUCAGGUCAGAGGGACACUUAUACCCAUAUCCCUUUGAAGUGACUCUUGACAGCAGAGUGCUCUGGAGUUGGCCACGUUCAGUGAAAUGUACUCCUACAUUUUACCUGCAUGCCAUACCAGCGUCUCUACGCUCCUUGGUUAAGACGACAACCAA